Molecule: ribosomal RNA, 429 nt
Filed under: Chloroflexota bacterium
Lineage: Bacteria; Bacillati; Chloroflexota
Also listed under: 1 other name
Description: Chloroflexi bacterium partial 16S ribosomal RNA
Rfam family: Bacterial small subunit ribosomal RNA
Source: RNAcentral
UGGGGAAUAUUGCACAAUGGGCGCAAGCCUGAUGCAGCCAUGCCGCGUGUAUGAAGAAGGCCUUCGGGUUGUAAAGUACUUUCAGCGGGGAGGAAGGGAGUAAAGUUAAUACCUUUGCUCAUUGACGUUACCCGCAGAAGAAGCACCGGCUAACUCCGUGCCAGCAGCCGCGGUAAUACAGAGGGUGCAAGCGUUAAUCGGAAUUACUGGGCGUAAAGCGCACGCAGGCGGUUUGUUAAGUCAGAUGUGAAAUCCCCGGGCUCAACCUGGGAACUGCAUCUGAUACUGGCAAGCUUGAGUCUCGUAGAGGGGGGUAGAAUUCCAGGUGUAGCGGUGAAAUGCGUAGAGAUCUGGAGGAAUACCGGUGGCGAAGGCGGCCCCCUGGACGAAGACUGACGCUCAGGUGCGAAAGCGUGGGGAGCAAACAGG